Molecule: ribosomal RNA, 601 nt
Filed under: uncultured bacterium
Lineage: Bacteria
Description: bacterial SSU rRNA
Rfam family: Bacterial small subunit ribosomal RNA (bases 1-525)
Source: RNAcentral
CCUACGGGAGGCAGCAGUGGGGAAUAUUGCACAAUGGGCGGAAGCCUGAUGCAGCGACGCCGCGUGAGGGAUGAAGGCCUUCGGGUUGUAAACCUCUUUCAGCAGGGACGAAGCGUGAGUGACGGUACCUGCAGAAGAAGCACUGGCUAACUACGUGCCAGCAGCCGCGGUAAUACGUAGGGUGCGAGCGUUGUCCGGAAUUACUGGGCGUAAAGAGUUCGUAGGCGGUUUGUCGCGUCGUUUGUGAAAACCCGGGGCUCAACUUCGGGCUUGCAGGCGAUACGGGCAGACUUGAGUGUUUCAGGGGAGACUGGAAUUCCUGGUGUAGCGGUGAAAUGCGCAGAUAUCAGGAGGAACACCGGUGGCGAAGGCGGGUCUCUGGGAAACAACUGACGCUGAGGAACGAAAGCGUGGGUAGCAAACAGGAUUAGAUACCCUGGUAGUCCACGCCGUAAACGGUGGCGCUAGGUGUGGGGUUCCUUCCAACGGGUAUCUGUGCCGUAGCUAACGCAUUAAGCGCCCGCGUGGGAGUACGGCGCGAGACGAACUACAANAGAGUAGACGGCGNGAGACGUGCCGACGACGACGACGAGGGAGUAGG